This 78-nucleotide small RNA is filed under the name Flavobacterium sp. S87F.05.LMB.W.Kidney.N. RNAcentral describes it as "Flavo-1 RNA". It matches the Rfam family "Flavo-1 RNA". Lineage: Bacteria; Pseudomonadati; Bacteroidota; Flavobacteriia; Flavobacteriales; Flavobacteriaceae. The record is from RNAcentral.
CCCUAGCCCUGAUAGAAGCGGUAUCCUUUUGUUUUUUUCUUUAAAAAACAAAAGAUAUAGCGGAUAGCAGGAAAUAGC